AAAAGUUAAACAUUCACUGUCGUCACUUCCGGUAAGCGUCACACCCGGUAGUCGGAAAAGGGCUUUUUUUUGUCGGAAAAGGGAGCUUUUUCAACUCGCCUGUGUUGUAAAGUGAGAAGCAUUCACCCUGUAAGCAUGCAGAUCAACACUUCAGCUGAGUCCAAUUGAUUGCCCUGUGAUGGACUGACUCAUGACUGCUGGUGAUGGACCCCAGAACCCCAGCGCAACGCUCAGAGAAGAAGCAGGUAUGAACAAUGCAUGUAUGGAAAGUAUACAGAAUAUAGGAAACAAAAUCAAACUUUAAAUUAUAAAAUUAUGGAUUUGAUCAAACUAUUUCACAGUUUCUAAACCAAGUUUAGUUUAUGGGAUGAUAAAGCAAAAAAAAAAAAAAAAUUACCACAGUCAUGUCAGAACAAAGAGAGGUCAUCUCCAAAUUGUCUCUCAAAGUCAGAAGAUUAACAUUCUCAGAAAGGGCCAUCCGGACCCCUGAAAGUGCGCCGGGCCAAAAUCCCCCUUAUACUCAUCUGUCACAAUGCAGUCAGACGAGUGGAGUUCUCCUGGAAACUGACACACCCAGACUCCUCCAUUAUAUUGCUGCACAGAGACGUGAGUUGUCAUUCUAGAGAUUGUAUCUCCG
This is a long non-coding RNA of Poeciliopsis prolifica (blackstripe livebearer), 637 nucleotides long. RefSeq lists it as uncharacterized. The record is from RefSeq and is a predicted model, not a curated record. The transcript is spliced from 3 exons. NCBI's taxonomy places the organism in Eukaryota, Metazoa, Chordata, Actinopteri, Cyprinodontiformes, Poeciliidae.